UACGUAGGGUGCGAGCGUUGUCCGGAAUUACUGGGCGUAAAGAGCUCGUAGGUGGUUUGUCGCGUUGUCCGUGAAAACUCACAACUCAAUUGUGGGCGUGCGGGCGAUACGGGCAGACUGGAGUACUGCAGGGGGAGACUGGAAUUCCUGGUGUAGCGGUGGAAUGCGCAGAUAUCAGGAAGAACACCUAUGGCGAAGGCAGCUCUCUGGGACGGUACUGACGCUGAGACGCGAAAGCGUGGGGAGCGAACAGG
This 254-nucleotide ribosomal RNA is filed under the name uncultured bacterium. Its description in RNAcentral is "partial 16S ribosomal RNA". It matches the Rfam family "Bacterial small subunit ribosomal RNA", at positions 524 to 776 of the family's 1533-position model. The record is from RNAcentral.